CGUAGGGUGCGAGCGUUAUCCGGAAUUAUUGGGCGUAAAGAGCUCGUAGGCGGUUUGUCGCGUCUGUCGUGAAAGUCCGGGGCUUAACCCCGGAUCUGCGGUGGGUACGGGCAGACUAGAGUGCAGUAGGGGAGACUGGAUUCCUGGUGUAGCGGUGGAAUGCGCAGAUAUCAGGAGGAACACCGAUGGCGAAGGCAGGUCUCUGGGCUGUAACUGACGCUGAGGAGCGAAAGCAUGGGGGAGCGAACAGGAUU
Molecule: ribosomal RNA, 254 nt
Filed under: uncultured bacterium
Lineage: Bacteria
Description: partial 16S ribosomal RNA
Rfam family: Bacterial small subunit ribosomal RNA
Source: RNAcentral